GAUGAACGCUGGCGGCGUGCCUAAUACAUGCAAGUCGAGCGAACAGACGAGGAGCUUGCUCCUUCGACGUUAGCGGCGGACGGGUGAGUAACACGUAGGUAACCUACCUAUAAGACUGGGAUAACUUCGGGAAACCGGAGCUAAUACCGGAUAAUAUUUCGAACCGCAUGGUUCGAUAGUGAAAGAUGGCUUUGCUAUCACUUAUAGAUGGACCUGCGCCGUAUUAGCUAGUUGGUAAGGUAACGGCUUACCAAGGCAACGAUCCGUAGCCGACCUGAGAGGGUGAUCGGCCACACUGGAACUGAGACACGGUCCAGACUCCUACGGGAGGCAGCAGUAGGGAAUAUUCCGCAAUGGGCGAAAGCCUGACGGAGCAACGCCGCGUGAGUGAUGAAGGUCUUCGGAUCGUAAAACUCUGUUAUUAGGGAAGAACAAACGUGUAAGUAACUGUGCACGUCUUGACGGUACCUAAUCAGAAAGCCACGGCUAACUACGUG
Molecule: ribosomal RNA, 497 nt
Filed under: uncultured bacterium
Lineage: Bacteria
Description: partial 16S ribosomal RNA
Rfam family: Bacterial small subunit ribosomal RNA
Source: RNAcentral